Molecule: long non-coding RNA, 1102 nt
Organism: Acanthopagrus latus (yellowfin seabream)
Lineage: Eukaryota; Metazoa; Chordata; Actinopteri; Spariformes; Sparidae
Exons: 4
Source: RefSeq, a predicted model, not a curated record
AUCAUAGUUUACAAUUGUUAAUUGUUGAUUCAUUCAAAGAUGAUGAUGUAUUGUCACUUACUACAUCCUUAAGUCAACUGAUUUCUGAAACUUUUUUUAAAUACAAACAACAAACAUCUUGUAUGAUUCAUGACACAAUUAAAACGGAAUUAAAAAACUAUUUGUCUUCAUUCACUAUCAGACAAAGUUUUUAUGAAGUAAUGUCUCAUGAGAGAAACCAGUGUUUGUGUCUUAUGUCAAUCACAAGCCAGUAUCACAAACAUUUGAUGAACACAAUUACCCACUAAAUCAUAUUCGGCCACCUGGCACAUAUCUGAACAGUAACAGUCUCACAAGAAUUUCACAUUACGCCACCUAGCGCUCACUGUCCGUAAGUAGUACAAUAUAUUUAAACGUAUGCAUAUCCUGGAAACUAGGGGCCAUGCAAUUAUACCCACCGUUUAUUUCCAAUACAAUCCAUUUCUAAUUAUUAGUCAUUUAUUUAUAGUGCACAGAAAAGUUGACUUUUACAUAAAGGUCGAAUGGAAAACCGUCAUUCCUAGUUUAAACCUGUUUUGUUCAGUUAAACAGAAAUAACACGCUUCAUAAAACAAACUCAGAACAAUAAACUGCUGUUUUCGCUUCAAAUCACAGGGCUUCACGUCACCUCACCACAUGACGUCACACCGGCGACACGUCUGUCGCACAGCUGCACUUCCAUCGUAAACCAUCGUAAACAAGAUACGACUUCGACUUCGCCGCCGUAUUGGAUGCAGCAGCUCUGCCCCCAGUCAGUGGACCCAACUUUACAAAGCUCCUUCUACAAAGUGCUGCAGGUGAUGCUCAGGAGGGAAAUGGCGCUCUCUGCACAUCAACUCUUCAGUCUGGUUUAGCCCUACGCAAUCUGGAAACUGGCAUCACACAACGUUUGUUGGCACUUAUCAAAUAAAGGUGGUGGAUGCCAGGCCAGUGUCUGGCUUUCAUGCCAGGGAGCUGGAGCUGGUCAUAGCUGGAACAGCUGACAUUGACUUAUCACACUGGAGGAACAACACAGAGUACACAGGAGGUAUCAUCAACUGUGUCAACUCUACUUCCUGUCCCAAUAAAGGGGAAUCAAACACUG